Molecule: ribosomal RNA, 472 nt
Filed under: uncultured bacterium
Lineage: Bacteria
Description: partial 16S ribosomal RNA
Rfam family: Bacterial small subunit ribosomal RNA
Source: RNAcentral
GAUGAACGCUGGCGGCGUGCCUAAUACAUGCAAGUCGAGCGAACGGACGAGAAGCUUGCUUCUCUGAAGUUAGCGGCGGACGGGUGAGUAACACGUGGAUAACCUACCUAUAAGACUGGGAUAACUUCGGGAAACCGGAGCUAAUACCGGAUAAUAUUUUGAACCGCAUGGUUCAAAAGUGAAAGACGGUCUUGCUGUCGCUUAUAGAUGGAUCCGCGCUGCAUUAGCUAGUUGGUAAGGUAACGGCUUACCAAGGCAACGAUGCAUAGCCGACCUGAGAGGCGGAGACGGAAGACGGGGAGGAGGAAAAGGACCAGAAGGAUAAGGGAGGAAGAAGAGGGGAAUAUUGGAAAAGGGGAGAAAGAAUGAUAUAGCAAUGACGCGGGAGAGAUGAAGGCAUUAGGGGUGGAAAGCUCUUUUACCCGGGAUGAUAAUGACAGUACCGGGAGAAUAAGCGCCGGCUAACUCCGUG